This 402-nucleotide ribosomal RNA is filed under the name uncultured prokaryote. RNAcentral's name for it is "bacterial SSU rRNA". It matches the Rfam family "Bacterial small subunit ribosomal RNA", at positions 355 to 774 of the family's 1533-position model. The record is from RNAcentral.
UAGGGAAUAUUAGUAAUGGGCGAAAGCCUGAACUAGCAACACCGCGUGUGCGAAGAAGGCCUUCGGGUUGUAAAGCACUUUUUGAGAGGAUGAGGAAGGACGGUACUCUCAGAAUAAGUCUCGGCUAACUACGUGCCAGCAGCCGCGGUAACACGUAGGAGGCAAACGUUAUCCGGAUUUACUGGGCGUAAAGCGCGUGUAGGUGGUUUGGUAAGUAGAGCGUGAAAGCUCCUGGCUCAACUGGGAGAGGUCGUUCUAAACUGCCGGACUAGAGGAUGGUAGAGGGAGGUGGAAUUCCGGGUGUAGCGGUGGAAUGCGCAGAUAUCCGGAGGAACACCAGUGGCGAAAGCGGCCUCCUGGCCCAUUUCUGACGCUAAGACGCGAAAGCUAGGGUAGCAAACG